RNAcentral lists this microRNA precursor (78 nucleotides) under Microtus ochrogaster (prairie vole). RNAcentral describes it as "miRNA (ENSMOCG00000006940.1)". The record is from RNAcentral. Lineage: Eukaryota; Metazoa; Chordata; Mammalia; Rodentia; Cricetidae.
AGUGGAGCCUGUGUAUCCAUGCUUUGGUCUAGCAGGCCUGUUCCUCCCACAGGCCCAGCUGAUAGCCCAGUCUAUCGG